RNAcentral lists this ribosomal RNA (429 nucleotides) under Pseudomonadota bacterium. RNAcentral's name for it is "Proteobacteria bacterium partial 16S ribosomal RNA". It matches the Rfam family "Bacterial small subunit ribosomal RNA", at positions 355 to 776 of the family's 1533-position model. The record is from RNAcentral. Lineage: Bacteria; Pseudomonadati; Pseudomonadota.
UGGGGAAUAUUGGACAAUGGGCGAAAGCCUGAUCCAGCCAUGCCGCGUGUGUGAAGAAGGUCUUCGGAUUGUAAAGCACUUUAAGUUGGGAGGAAGGGCAGUAAGCGAAUACCUUGCUGUUUUGACGUUACCGACAGAAUAAGCACCGGCUAACUCUGUGCCAGCAGCCGCGGUAAUACAGAGGGUGCAAGCGUUAAUCGGAAUUACUGGGCGUAAAGCGCGCGUAGGUGGUUCGUUAAGUUGAAUGUGAAAGCCCCGGGCUCAACCUGGGAACUGCAUCCAAAACUGGCGAGCUAGAGUAGGGCAGAGGGUGGUGGAAAUUCCUGUGUAGCGGUGAAAUGCGUAGAUAUAGGAAGGAACACCAGUGGCGAAGGCGACCACCUGGGCUCAUACUGACACUGAGGUGCGAAAGCGUGGGGAGCAAACAGG